UACGUAGGGUCCGAGCGUUGUCCGGAGUGACUGGGCGUAAAGCGCGCGCAGGCGGCCUGUUAGGCGCGACGUGAAAGCCCCGGGCUCAACCCGGGAGGGUCGUCGCGAACCGGCGGGCUUGAGGCCGGUAGAGGUGGGUGGAACUCCUGGUGGAGUGGUGAAAUGCGUAGAGAUCAGGAAGAACACCCGUGGCGAAGGCGGCCCACUGGGCCGGUACUGACGCUGAGGCGCGAAGGCGUGGGGAGCGAACGGG
Molecule: ribosomal RNA, 253 nt
Filed under: uncultured bacterium
Lineage: Bacteria
Description: partial 16S ribosomal RNA
Rfam family: Bacterial small subunit ribosomal RNA
Source: RNAcentral